GACCAGACUCCUACGGGAGGCAGCAGUGGGGAAUAUUGCACAAUGGGGGAAACCCUGAUGCAGCGACGCCGCGUGAGUGAAGAAGUAUUUCGGUAUGUAAAGCUCUAUCAGCAGGGAAGAAAAUGACGGUACCUGACUAAGAAGCCCCGGCUAACUACGUGCCAGCAGCCGCGGUAAUACGUAGGGGGCAAGCGUUAUCCGGAUUUACUGGGUGUAAAGGGAGCGUAGACGGCAUGGCAAGUCAGAUGUGAAAGCCCGGGGCUCAACCCCGGGACUGCAUUUGAAACUGUCAGGCUGGAGUGCAGGAGAGGUAAGUGGAAUUCCUAGUGUAGCGGUGAAAUGCGUAGAUAUUAGGAGGAACACCAGUGGCGAAGGCGGCUUACUGGACUGUAACUGACGUUGAGGCUCGAAAGCGUGGGGAGCAAACAGGAUUAGAUACCCUGGUA
Molecule: ribosomal RNA, 446 nt
Filed under: uncultured bacterium
Lineage: Bacteria
Description: bacterial SSU rRNA
Rfam family: Bacterial small subunit ribosomal RNA
Source: RNAcentral